AUUUACAUUACCGUAAUUUUGCAGUAAAUGUAUUUGCACUGCACCCAAUAUGUUUUUGUGGAGGGAAGGUUUUAAUAACGGUAACGGAAACUGGUUACAACUUACAAAGGCCAACAUUGAAUUGGACCAAUUUGACUCAGACGGCAGUCUCCAUGUCAAUCCAUAGCCGGAAUUGGUUUUCGUUUUGGCAGAUUCUCAGGACUCCGGCCAUCUAUACGUCUUGAUUAAGGAACGCGAAAUUUGAAGACGAAGGCGGAAUGGAGCGGCAUGCUGCCUUCCUGUUGGCGACGAUGUGCCGCUGCCUCUAUCGGUCGAGAAUCGAUAUAGAUGGUCGUCGUCACGUCGUCAGAUUGGGUAGCAUAUAGCCUAUAGGGAAAUGGAAGAGAGAAUGGUAGAGUGGUCUCUGCUUUGCAAUUCGCUUGCUCCAAUGAUGUCUCCGAAUGUCGAUACAGCUGAAAAGGGUUGCUCUGUUGUUGUUAAUGAAAAGACGGUGACGUUCGAAACUCGAUUCUAUGUUGCUUUAACUAUUGAGGGUUUGUAAUCAACUCUCCGAACUUCUAGAGCUACUCGUCCUGAAGAAUUUUCCAAUCAAUUUAAGUCUCGUCAUUCGAAGAGUACCGCUCACACAGAUAAACGUGGGUCUCUCAGUAUUUUGUGGGUGUGGGUCUGAAUUGAACAAACCAUGGAUAACACUGUUGACGUGAAUUCUGGAUGCAGAAAGUAGCAAACAAGUUUGGAGUUGUGAUACCAGUUGAAGAGGCAAAUAAUGCACAUUACAAUUCAGUAGCAGUAAGCAAUUGAUGUUGAUAGGACAGAUAUUGGCCUGUGCAGGAAGUCCCAUGUUCCAGAUGGGCCAGGCAAGUGUUUGAACUUUCAGGAUUCUCAUAUGCAGUUAAAAUAUUAUUUUAUUUGCAUGCAGUUCAAUUAUUUUUCCUCUUCUGGCUACCAGGAAAAUUUCUACUUUAAUCCUGGUGAUGCAAGGUUUAAGGUACAUUGAUCUUUGAUAGACUUGAUUUAGCUGGUGAUUUUGUCCCGUGAAACUUAUUGCAAGUUUGCAACCAUGUUUGCUGCAAAAACAGGUCAUUGGAACUAAGUUCACCAAACCUGGAAUUAGUAAGCAAGAAAUUUUAUCUGAGAAGCAGCAUUAAUAGAAUUCAAAAGCUGAUAUAAAGGAAAUCCAAGUACUGAUGGGUGGACUCUACGAAUUAUCAAGGGCCUUGUGUUAUACAUGCAUAGUUUUUUUUUUUUUUUUUUAAGCAAGAAAUUUUAUCUGAGAAGCAGCAUUAAUAGAAUUCAAAAGCUGAUAUAAAGGAAAUCCAAGUACUGAUGGGUGGACUCUACGAAUUAUCAAGGGCCCUGUGUUAUACAUGCAUAGUUUUUUUUUUUUUUAUAUAUAUAUCAAUAUACAUGCAUAGUUUAGUUUUUAAAGGUUUAAGCCUUAAAUCAACGCACCGGGGUUAAGCUUGAACUACACAUUCUGAAGCUCAUGCCUGGGGCUGAGGCAUACACUGCUGUCUCUUGCCUUGAGGCUUUUCAUGGGCAUAGGCCUCUCCAGUCCAAAUGUUAAUUCUGCUCUAUAUUUUUAUUUUUGAUUUCUAAUGUGUAAAAUGUUCAGAAAUAUGUUAGUGUCCUACCAUGGUAAUGAAAAAAAAAAAAAUAGAGAGAAAUAGAGAAAUGGUAUCUUCUUUAUCUCAACGAGGGCUCUAUUUGGAGAGUGGCCAUGAAACCCUAAAUCAAUGUGCUCAUUACUCUUAAAAAAAUAUUCAUGACAUCCAAUUCUACAAGUUGAUGAGUUCUUAUUAUAAAGUUGAACUGAAAAAAAAUGCAACUUCAUUGGAGGAUCUAUGAUUAGUUUCUAUUUUUUUCUUCCCUUCUAUUGAACUUCUAUUGGAUGUAAUUACUUUACAGACACACACAAAUGCUAGUCGAGUGGCACAUGCAUUUGCACAUGUAAGAGGAGAGAGAAAAUUAAAUGAACUAAAGGAGAUGAGUUAAAUAUUGACCUUAUACUAUAAAAUAAUCCGAUUUAACUUUUAUGACCUGCACAGAACCCAAGGCAAGUAUUGGCAUUAUAUAGUAUAGAUGUGUGUGUGUGUGUGACCCUUAACUCCCUUGCUAAAUACAAUAUUUCCCUUAGCUGUUGCCUGAAAGGCCAAGACCCUAAACUUCUUGCUUGCAUCAAACUGAUUACCACCUUGGAGUCACCUUCCACUUCUAACUGUUGCAUACUCCACUGCUUAGCUAGUCUCAGCCCUUGUAGUAGGGCCUAUUUCUGUCCUUAGUGAGUCCCCCACCCUAAUUGGACCCAAUAUGAGGGCCAGCACCUUUCUUCCUCAUAUCUGAAGACUCCCCCAAUGCCUGAAGGACCUGGAUUGCCUAGAGAACUACCAUCAAACUAUCAAAGUUCAGCUUUACUCUAGCCUGCAGAGAAGGGAACCAACUCUCCUGCACAGUAUGAGAAUGGGUGGAAGAAGAAGCUAUGACACUUCAUCCUCUAAGCAAAUCAUCAUAAGAGAAGUCCUUGAAUAGUUGUAGAAUUUUCAGCCAAUGUAAAUCUUUGAUGGUAAUACCCUCAACAAGUGCUUCCUUGGAUUUUUCUUGCCCUUGGAGGAUCCUGUUGUUUCUUUUUUCCCAAAUCGACCAAAGAAUGGCUGAUCUUGUUAAUCUCCACAUCACCCUACCCCUUUUGUUUGGUUGACGGAAGAAACUGGGGUAAAAAAAAGUUUAGCACACACAAGGGGGAAUUCCAGCUGCACCUAAAAGAGAGAGGAGAACCAAUCCCAAAGGUAAGAAACAAAGGGACAGGAUAAAAAUAGAACAAUUGAAAGAUAAGUUCAUGGUAGAAGGAAAAUGAAAUUUAGAUGACUAUAUGAUAUGUGGCUUAGAAUAGACAAUGAUAUUAAAAAACUUGCACCAAAGGUUUUAGGAAAAUCUAAAGGAAUUUGAUAAAGCACUAAAAAAAGUUGGUGGUAGAAUGAAGAGAUUCAAAAUAUACUCAACUUGAAACAGAUGUGUUAUAAUAAUGAAUAAAAGAUAAAGUGCUAAGUGUCAUCUAGGGAACCAGAUCUGCUCUAGGUUCAAUGGUUUAAAUAUGAAGAGAUACUGAAGAGAGCAAAACAACAAUAUAGGGAUGUCAGGAAAAACCAACCCCAUCCCCAAAGGAAUCAAAUAUACUAUAGUGAUGAAUUACAAGUUCCUAAGAGGGACCUAGUGGAAAAUAUGCUACAAUGGGAGCAAAUUAAGAGGGGGAGAGGGAUGUGUGUGUGUGUGUGAGAGAGAGAGAGAGAGAUCAGUGUGAAACCCAAUGCAAGCUGUGGUGUUCCUGUUUCAAGUUAAAUCGGCUCUACCAAUGGCAUAUUUUGAAUGCUAAAGUUGAAUCACCUAUGUGAAGUUUAUGUGAGCAGAAACGAAAGUGCAACACAAUGUACUAGACACCCUCCUAAUUAGCUAUAUUUAUUAAUGAUUAGAGGUUCUUAGUUAAGCAGUAUGGAAUCAUGUCAUCUCAGAAAAGAUCAUAGAGGGCUGAUUGUAUGUAAUCCUCUGAUAGUUUUCAAUCUGCUGUUGACCCGACUGGUCAAACCAUUCGAACUGUCACCUAGUCAAGAUUCCGUGUCUGGUUCAAUCAAGACCCAUCAGACAGUCAAAAACCAUUUGACCUGGUCAGUUUAACCGUUGACCCGUUCGACCUGAUCACUGGGUCGCGGGUUGCACACUUAAUGUAUGCAAACUUUCGGAGGCCAUAACUUUGCACUCCAAUGUCCAAUUAGAGUGAUUUUUUUUUAUAUUUUGGGUAACUUUUAGAGAUCUAUGUGUUGCAAGGUGUUGUAAGCGCCUUGCCCCGCUAUUUUCACAAAAAAAAAAAACUUU
Non-coding RNA from Nelumbo nucifera (sacred lotus), 3867 nucleotides. The record is from RefSeq and is a predicted model, not a curated record. NCBI's taxonomy places the organism in Eukaryota, Viridiplantae, Streptophyta, Magnoliopsida, Proteales, Nelumbonaceae.